UUCGCAAUGCCCGAAAGGGUGACGAAGCGACGCCGCGUGUGGGAAGAAGGCCUUCGGGUUGUAAACCACUGUCAGGAGUUAAGAAGUGUAAGGAUACGAAUAGUGUCUUUACUUGACUAAGGCUCCAGAGGAAGCCACGGCUAACUCUGUGCCAGCAGCCGCGGUAAUACAGAGGUGGCAAGCGUUGUUCGGAAUUAUUGGGCGUAAAGAGCACGUAGGCGGUUAUGCAAGUCGGCUGUGAAAGCCUUCCGCUCAACGGAAGAACAGCAGUUGAUACUACAGGAUUAGAGUGCGGGAGGGGAGAGUGGAACUUCUGGUGGAGCGGUGAAAUGCGUAGAUAUCAGAAGGAACGCCGGCGGCGAAAGCGACUCUCUGGCCCGUAACCGACGCUGAGUGUGCGAAAGCUCGGGGAGCAAACGGGAUUAGAUACCCCGGUAGUCCUAGCCGUAAACGAUGGGCCCUAAGUAGCGGGGUUUU
This 477-nucleotide ribosomal RNA is filed under the name uncultured Planctomycetales bacterium. Its description in RNAcentral is "bacterial SSU rRNA". It matches the Rfam family "Bacterial small subunit ribosomal RNA", at positions 365 to 832 of the family's 1533-position model. Lineage: Bacteria; Pseudomonadati; Planctomycetota; Planctomycetia; Planctomycetales. The record is from RNAcentral.